CAGUCGCCGCGGUAAUACAGAGGGUGCGAGCGUUAAUCGGAUUUACUGGGCGUAAAGCGUGCGUAGGCGGCUUCUUAAGUCGGAUGUGAAAUCCCUGAGCUUAACUUAGGAAUUGCAUUCGAUACUGGGAAGCUAGAGUAUGGGAGAGGAUGGUAGAAUUCCAGGUGUAGCGGUGAAAUGCGUAGAGAUCUGGAGGAAUACCGAUGGCGAAGGCAGCCAUCUGGCCUAAUACUGACGCUGAGGUACGAAAGCAUGGGGAGCAAACAGGAUUAGAUACCCGGGUAGUCCCUGUCUCUAUACA
Molecule: ribosomal RNA, 301 nt
Filed under: uncultured bacterium
Lineage: Bacteria
Description: partial 16S ribosomal RNA
Rfam family: Bacterial small subunit ribosomal RNA
Source: RNAcentral